UGAUUUCAUGCCAGGAUGAAACAAUGAAACCUGAGCAUUCAAGCAGCCUGAACAGUUCAAUUUUGGAAGUGAUUAACUGCUAAUUUUUAAUAAUGAAAGUUUUCUUUAAUAUGGAGAGAGAUAAGUGGGAGCACCAGUAAUCAUGGAGAUGUUUGUAGGACAGGAAAGAUCAUAUGUGUUUGAGUGCAAACGGCUGCAGAGCCAUAUUGAUAUGGAUGGCCAGCCUUGUUGAUGUAUUUGAGCCAUGUUCCUGUUCAUAAUCAUUCCCUCAGAGUGCAAAAUGCGGAAGACACAGGCAGGUAGCGAGUGACAAGCAUGGAAUACUGAAGGCAGUGAUUUGAUUGAAUUUAAUUUUGAAAUUGAUUGAAAUUCAUUUGCAUAUGAAAUAUGUUUUGCAAUUUGUU
Molecule: long non-coding RNA, 404 nt
Filed under: Coturnix japonica (Japanese quail)
Lineage: Eukaryota; Metazoa; Chordata; Aves; Galliformes; Phasianidae
Description: lncRNA (ENSCJPG00005008737.1)
Source: RNAcentral